GACGAACGCUGGCGGCGUGCCUAACACAUGCAAGUCAACUUGACUGAAGGAGCAAUCUGACAGUAGAGUGGCGCAAGGGUGCGUAACGCGUAAGUAACUUGCCCCAAGGUAAGGAAUAACGUCGAGAAAUCGGCGCUAAUACCUCAUAAUGCAGCGGAUCCGCAUGGAUAUGUUGUUAAAGGUUUACCGCCUUGGGAUAGGCUUGCGUCUGAUUAGCUAGUUGGUGUGGUAACGGCACACCAAGGCUACGAUCAGUAACUGGUCUGAGAGGACGAUCAGUCACACUGGAACUGAGACACGGUCCAGACUCCUACGGGAGGCAGCAGUGAGGAAUAUUGGGCAAUGCUCGAAAGAGUGACCCAGCAACGCCGCGUGGAGGAUGAAGGUAUUCUAUAUCGUAAACUCCUGUGAGAGCAGACGAAAGACAGAUUAUUAAUCUGGAUGACUGUAUGCUCAGAGGAAGCCCCGGCUAACUACGU
Molecule: ribosomal RNA, 479 nt
Filed under: uncultured bacterium
Lineage: Bacteria
Description: bacterial SSU rRNA
Rfam family: Bacterial small subunit ribosomal RNA
Source: RNAcentral